Molecule: non-coding RNA, 130 nt
Organism: Caenorhabditis elegans
Lineage: Eukaryota; Metazoa; Nematoda; Chromadorea; Rhabditida; Rhabditidae
Source: Ensembl
AAGAAAAAUGUGUGCAGUUUUCAACGGGCGGCGAUACAUUUCGGCUAAUCGCUGCGAGACCCAUGGCCGUGGCCGAGUCUACAACUAGUUCACAAGAGCCGAAAUGGUGGGAAAGUCGAGGACUUUAAAU